This 891-nucleotide ribosomal RNA is filed under the name Wolbachia endosymbiont of Formica aquilonia. RNAcentral describes it as "bacterial SSU rRNA". It matches the Rfam family "Bacterial small subunit ribosomal RNA", at positions 73 to 999 of the family's 1533-position model. Lineage: Bacteria; Pseudomonadati; Pseudomonadota; Alphaproteobacteria; Rickettsiales; Anaplasmataceae. The record is from RNAcentral.
UUGUAGCCUGCUAUGGUAUAACUUAGUGGCAGACGGGUGAGUAAUAUAUAGGAAUCUACCUAGUAGUACGGAAUAAUUGUUGGAAACGGCAACUAAUACCGUAUACGCCCUACGGGGGAAAAAUUUAUUGCUAUUAGAUGAGCCUAUAUUAGAUUAGCUAGUUGGUGGAGUAAUAGCCUACCAAGGCAAUGAUCUAUAGCUGAUCUGAGAGGAUGAUCAGCCACACUGGAACUGAGAUACGGUCCAGACUCCUACGGGAGGCAGCAGUGGGGAAUAUUGGACAAUGGGCGAAAGCCUGAUCCAGCCAUGCCGCAUGAGUGAAGAAGGCCUUUGGGUUGUAAAGCUCUUUUAGUGAGGAAGAUAAUGACGGUACUCACAGAAGAAGUCCUGGCUAACUCCGUGCCAGCAGCCGCGGUAAUACGGAGAGGGCUAGCGUUAUUCGGAAUUAUUGGGCGUAAAGGGCGCGUAGGCUGGUUAGUAAGUUAAAAGUGAAAUCCCGAGGCUUAACCUUGGAACUGCUUUUAAAACUGCUAACCUAGAGAUUGAAAGAGGAUAGAGGAAUUCCUAGUGUAGAGGUGAAAUUCGUAAAUAUUAGGAGGAACACCAGUGGCGAAGGCGUCUAUCUGGUUCAAAUCUGACGCUGAGGCGCGAAGGCGUGGGGAGCAAACAGGAUUAGAUACCCUGGUAGUCCACGCUGUAAACGAUGAAUGUUAAAUAUGGGAAGUUUACUUUCUGUAUUACAGCUAACGCGUUAAACAUUCCGCCUGGGGACUACGGUCGCAAGAUUAAAACUCAAAGGAAUUGACGGGGACCCGCACAAGCGGUGGAGCAUGUGGUUUAAUUCGAUGCAACGCGAAAAACCUUACCACUCCUUGACAUGAAAAUCAUACC